This 1087-nucleotide long non-coding RNA is filed under the name Brassica napus (rape). RNAcentral's name for it is "long non-coding RNA (BNAP_LNC024311)". The record is from RNAcentral. Lineage: Eukaryota; Viridiplantae; Streptophyta; Magnoliopsida; Brassicales; Brassicaceae.
UUAGGAAGAUCAAUGUUUUGGUUCGUUUGAUCUCGGUUUGUUUUAGAAAUCUGUGUUAGUGUGUUUGACAAGGCCGCAAGUCUCUUCCAUACCAAGUUAGAACUCUUGGAUGUGGAGUUCAUUUGCUUAUAAUAUGUUACUAAUGUAUGCAACUUAUGUUACCGUCACUACUGCAUUCAACCUUCGAGCAUUUGACUCUGCCGUCACAUCAUGCUAAAAAGAAAAGCGUCGGACUCUACGUACGAAUCAACCACUGGUUACUCCACCCACCACACACAGAAACAACAUUCACCUACAAGCAGUUAAGUUCUCAUACCAACUCAAUUGGCGAUUAAGAAAUCAUACGCUACUCAUUCCCAUGAAUUCACAUCAACACUUCUUAAAGUGAGUGGUAUGAUGUUAAUAAAUAUUCGACGAUGAACUCUCACCGAAACAUUUACUCCUCAAUCCUCAUCCCACCCCCCCCUUUUCAACCUCUGCGCACACUUCCACCUGAACCAUAAGCUCGCUCUUGGAUUUAAAACACAAAAUAUAUUCGACAUUAACCUCAAAAGUCUUAAGUCAUUAAUACAAAUACUUUACAGUCCCUCCCGUAUUCAGAUAACCUCACAUCCUCUUCUUACAAAGACAAAUCACACGUAUCUCACAACACCAAAAAUCUACCGUUAAGUUUAGAAAACAACCAAUGAAUCACACAUACGAUUUCCAAACAAACAACAACUCAGCAACUACGACAUACAACCGAGAUGGUGCAAACUUCAAACAACAUAAAAUUGAGAGCGAGAGCGAUACUUACCUGACACAAGUCGAUUAUUAUGUUCCCCUAAAGACAACACAAACGGCUCCUAAGCAAAAAAAAAAGUUUUUACCUGCACUCUUCUCCAAAGACACAUCUUACCGCGACGUAAACUACUAGCCAAAUUUGGGCACGUUCAUAUUUAAAAAAAAAAUAGUAACCUGGACUCAUAAUCUUUCACAUAACCCUCAAUAUUCAAAGCCCACAAAAAACACAACAAACUCAAUAUAUAUCAUCAAACAUAGCAUAAUAUUUAUUCACAUUUUUAUUACUCUUGAAAUAUAAAUCAAU